RNAcentral lists this ribosomal RNA (250 nucleotides) under uncultured bacterium. RNAcentral describes it as "partial 16S ribosomal RNA". It matches the Rfam family "Bacterial small subunit ribosomal RNA", at positions 355 to 597 of the family's 1533-position model. The record is from RNAcentral.
UGGGGAAUUUUGGACAAUGGGCGCAAGCCUGAUCCAGCCAUUCCGCGUGCAGGAUGAAGGCCCUCGGGUUGUAAACUGCUUUUGUACGGAACGAAACGGCGCUCUCUAAUACAGGGCGCUAAUGACGGUACCGUAAGAAUAAGCACCGGCUAACUACGUGCCAGCAGCCGCGGUAAUACGUAGGGUGCAAGCGUUAAUCGGAAUUACUGGGCGUAAAGCGUGCGCAGGCGGUCUUGUAAGACAGAUGUGA